GCGGGAGAGGCCGCGGGAGAGGCCGCUUCAUUGGCGCAACGACGCCUUGGCCCCCGGGGAUGCUGCGAUUCCCGAGGCAGGGCCUGGGGGAGUCUCCCGAGUGCCCCGAGACCUUUGUCUGCCCCUCGUCCCCCGCGGGGGCCUGGACCUUUCGCGCAGAGGGAGGCCUGGUGCAUUCUGAGCUCCCUGCUCUGCCCCGUUUUGCACCGACCUUGUCACUGGGGGAGGCCAAGGGGAGGAGGCCCAGCCUCGUGAUGAGGAAUAGCAAGGAGAGACUUCAGCUCCAGUUAAAAAGCCUGCAAAGCCUGAGCCCACUCCUGCUUUUGUAAGGUGAGUUGACUGAGCCACGCUCGCUGACCAGAGGUGGCUCUCGUGCUCAGCCACUCUGGAAAGCCAAGAGCCAUGUGGCAGUUCCACUUGUGACUGCCUUGCAAGAGGAUUGUCCCUGUCAGCCGUUUAUGGAAUCUUCUGGAAUUGUCCCAUAGAAAGGCUACCUGAAAUCGUGUUACACUGUGUUCACCUGAUAGAAUUUUAUUUCUCUCUACAUUGUUUGAAAGACUGAACCAGAAAGAUUUUUGUUUUAACAUUGCCACAUUACAUUCUUUUAGAUCCCUAGAAAAUAUUUC
RNAcentral lists this long non-coding RNA (626 nucleotides) under Fukomys damarensis (Damara mole-rat). RNAcentral's name for it is "lncRNA (ENSFDAG00000029586.1)". The record is from RNAcentral. Lineage: Eukaryota; Metazoa; Chordata; Mammalia; Rodentia; Bathyergidae.